GGUUAUUAAAGGUGGCUCAGGUUCUGACACCACACAUUCGUGUAGUUGAAACUCAACACAGCUAUAGACAGUUACCUUACAGCUAGAUUACAACACAGCUAUAGACAGUUACCUUACAGCUAGAUUACAACACAGCUACAAUAUGAGAAACCUAAUUGUUUUAAUUCUAGUUCUUUGCAGCUUUAGAGUCACGAUCAGUCAAGGGACGCAAAGAUUGUCUUUACUCUUGAAAUGCAAACAAUCAGCAGGAUUUAGCAUUUAUGGACAAGGCACAACAAAAAUGUGUCUGUACCUGGGACAAGAAAAUAAGACUUAUGUCGAGGCUCAAGCAGAUUGCACAAGUAGAAACUCUAGACUUGCUAUCUUUAACACGUUGGAGAAGUUCCAAAUUGUAGAGCCAAUGCCCAAUGUGUGGAUUGGUUUAGAUGACAUUGCAACCGAAGGAACCUAUCGCUGGGCAGAUGGGUCAAUACUAGAUCUUCAAAGUGAACUGAAAAAAAAAAUCUUUUACCCAGGAGAACCAGACGCUUAUUAUGUUGAUUCGGACUGUGUUUGCCAGAGAUGCUGGUCAAGUUCUGAAAAAUUAGUUGACACCGUUUCCUACUGGAAAUUAAGGAGAACCAAAUGCUUAUUACGUUGUUGAGAAUUGUGUUUGCCAGAGAUGUUGGUCAAGUUCGGAAAAAUUAGUUGACGCGCCCUGCAACUGGAAAUUAAGGAGAACCGAAUGCUGCUUUUGAAUUGGAGGACUGUGUUUGCAAUAAUUGUUUUAAGGAGUACCCAAAAUUGUUUGACUCACCUUGCGGGGAUACUUAUAGAUAUCUAUGUGAGAAAGUAAUUUAAAGUUCUAGAGGGAAAAAAAAUACCUCGAUACUCUGAACGAGCAAAAUAGUAGGAAAAACUACAUAUCUCAAUAAUGCAAGAUUUAAAUUAAAAUCAACAAACCAAAUUUUAAAAAAAUACUUGAAAGAAAAAAAAAAGGUUAUGAAAGGGGCAGAGCUCCACGUUUACAAAUAUAUCUCGGAAUAGUGUAGAAUUAUUUCCCUUUUUCGGAAACGAAAUAACGUGUUCUAAAUUUGUACUAGACAGACAGAAUGAGCUGAUAAAAGCUUUGUAAAAAAAAAUAAAGAAAGAAAUA
Biomphalaria glabrata is the source of this 1135-nucleotide RNA transcript. It is a transcript of the gene named C-type lectin domain family 4 member F-like, with no coding region annotated. The record is from RefSeq and is a predicted model, not a curated record. The transcript has 6 exons. Lineage: Eukaryota; Metazoa; Mollusca; Gastropoda; Planorbidae.